Molecule: ribosomal RNA, 322 nt
Filed under: uncultured fungus
Lineage: Eukaryota; Fungi
Description: eukaryotic LSU rRNA
Source: RNAcentral
AACGCAUUUUGCGCUUCCAGGUAGGCCUGGGAGCACACCUGUCUGAGUAUCAUUUUCUCCCUUCUUUCAUUAAGUUGAAGAUAAUGUGGGUCCCAGGAGUUAAAUCUUGCGUCCUACGAAAAGCAUUAGAUUAUGUCAUUAUUGACGAAUCGUUUUCUUAAACAAAUUUUCUUGACUAGAGCAAAUCUGUUUGUUCUCUUCCUGAAGCGCGUUAGGAAAGUUUACUUUCUCACGUUUUGGGAAUGACAAAAAAGUGAUCUCUAAUGGAAAAUUUAACAUCAUUCGUGAUCUCAGAUCAGGUGGGACUACCCGCUGAACUUAA